Molecule: RNA transcript, 621 nt
Organism: Ixodes scapularis (black-legged tick)
Lineage: Eukaryota; Metazoa; Arthropoda; Arachnida; Ixodida; Ixodidae
Exons: 5
Source: RefSeq, a predicted model, not a curated record
UUACACAAAUGAGACAUCUAGCGGAACCCGGAACUAGUCGCGCGUAGCGACUAUAAACUAAAGCUGGGUGUGACAUUUCUUGUUUGUUCUUCGCAUCUUGGUCAUACCCGUGGCGUGGUUCGAGCGAGUUCGAUUUCUGCCAAGGUUCACCGUUUUGUGCAGUUACGCCACGCUUACGUUACCCCGCUGUUCAGAACAGCCGGCUUUGAAGGGGACUGCUGUGCAUCGAAUGCAAUGAAGAAAGAUGCUGACAGGAUCGAGUGGCCUGAAGAGGCCAGCAGCUGCAUCAAGCCAUGACAGCCCCGUUGGAGGUUCCUCUCCUGUAAAUUUGUCACUGGCAGGGACAAGGGACGUCCAAAUUAUUGCAUCUGGUCAGCUCGACGCAAUCGACAUGGUUGGACCAGCCAUACAAAGCAUUGCGUCAGACACCAGUGUGGCUUCCAGCUGCACCUGUUUCGUUCCUCGUGCAUCUGUUGGUACAGACAGAUCCUGCAGACAUAGGCACACAAGAAGGCACUACAGCAGUGCCCUGCCCCAGCACUCCAGGUUCAAUUGCCGUCUCCAGUUUGAAGGACAACCCCCCAACUGCAGGCCCAGGACAUCCGUCCUCACAGUUCUGCU